This 156-nucleotide long non-coding RNA is filed under the name Cavia porcellus (domestic guinea pig). Its description in RNAcentral is "lncRNA (ENSCPOG00000034979.1)". Lineage: Eukaryota; Metazoa; Chordata; Mammalia; Rodentia; Caviidae. The record is from RNAcentral.
UGUCUUAUUUUCAGUGGGACUGCCAUGCUAAGAAGAUGGUUUGAGCUGUUUGGAGAAUUAGGUCUUGAUUGCUGUCAAAGAGAAGCAUCUCCCAGUCAUUUCUGACCUGAGAAGACAGUCGUGAAAUUCAUUGGUGGCCCAGACGUAGAAAGGAAA